Molecule: non-coding RNA, 774 nt
Filed under: Lethe confusa (banded treebrown)
Lineage: Eukaryota; Metazoa; Arthropoda; Insecta; Lepidoptera; Nymphalidae
Source: RNAcentral
AAAUUUUUAUGUUUUAGAAAAUUUAUUAUAAAUUUAUUUUACAUAUAAAUUUUAGUAUAUAAUUUUAAUUAUUUAAAAAAUAAUUAAUUGAAAUUUAUAGUAAUUAAAAUUAAAAAUUUAAGAAAUUAAGAUUUAGUAAUAUAAAAAUUAAUAACUAAUUUUGUGCCAGCAGUUGCGGUUAAACAAAAAUUAAAUUAAAUUAUUUCAGUAUUUAAUAAAUAAAAUAAAAUUAAAAUAAAUGUUAAAUUAUUAGGUGAAAUUUUAAUUUAAUUAAAUUUUAAAUUAAUUUUAUGAUUUAGUAAAUUUAAUAAUAAACUAGGAUUAGAUACCCUAUUAUUAAAAAUUUAAUUUAUAAUACUAAAAUAGUAAAUAAUAAAUAUUGAAACUUAAAUAAUANNNNGCGGUAUUUUAGUUCAUUUAGAGGAAUCUGUUUAAUAAUUGAUAAUCCACGAAUAAAUUUACUUAAUUUAAUAUUUUAUAUAUCGUUGUUAAAAAAAUAUUUUAUUAAAAAAAAAUAAUAUUUAAAAUUUUUUAUAAAAAAUUAAUUCAGAUCAAGAUGUAGAUUAUAAUUAAGAAUAUAAUGGAUUACAAUAAAAUAAUUUAAAAUGGAUAGUUAAUUUAAAAGUUAACUUGAAGGUGGAUUUAAAUGUAAUUUUAAUUAGUUUAUUAAAAUGAUUAAAAAUUGAAAUAUGUACAUAUUGCCCGUCACUUUCAUUUAAAAAUUGAAAUAAGUCGUAACAAAGUAGAAGUACUGGAAAGUGUUUCUAGAAAGAA